UAGGGAAUAUUGGUCAAUGGGCGCAAGCCUGAUCCAGCCAUACCGCGUGGGUGAAGAAGGCCUUCGGGUUGUAAAGCCCUUUUGUUGGGAAAGAAAUCCUAUCGGUUAAUAACCGGUGGGGAUGACGGUACCCAAAGAAUAAGCACCGGCUAACUUCGUG
Molecule: ribosomal RNA, 160 nt
Filed under: uncultured Pseudoxanthomonas sp.
Lineage: Bacteria; Pseudomonadati; Pseudomonadota; Gammaproteobacteria; Lysobacterales; Lysobacteraceae
Description: partial 16S ribosomal RNA
Rfam family: Bacterial small subunit ribosomal RNA
Source: RNAcentral